Molecule: ribosomal RNA, 174 nt
Filed under: Triticum aestivum (bread wheat)
Lineage: Eukaryota; Viridiplantae; Streptophyta; Magnoliopsida; Poales; Poaceae
Description: partial small subunit ribosomal RNA
Source: RNAcentral
GACGAGAAUGUGUGGAAGCACAUCAACAAUGUUGGUGUCUACACGGCCGCCACGAUAUACAAGGCCCAAUUCGUGGGCAUGUUCCUAUCUCCGUUGGAUAGCAUGGUCUGGAAGGCUUGGGCGCCAUCAAAAGUGAAAUUUUUCGCUUGGUUGGCUUUGCAAGACUGGAUUUGA